AACAAUAUUUGCAUGAAAAACUUGAACAGCCACCACCUACUUUCCUUGCUCUGGAACAUCUCACAUAUCAAAAUGUCUCCUGAGAUAAACAGAAAGAAGAAUGUGAAAACAGUUUGAUCCACUGGGUAUCAGGCAGCA
Lonchura striata (white-rumped munia) is the source of this 138-nucleotide non-coding RNA. NCBI's taxonomy places the organism in Eukaryota, Metazoa, Chordata, Aves, Passeriformes, Estrildidae. The record is from RefSeq and is a predicted model, not a curated record.